GAUGAACGCUGGCGGCGUGCCUAAUACAUGCAAGUCGAGCGAAUGGAUUAAGAGCUUGCUCUUAUGAAGUUAGCGGCGGACGGGUGAGUAACACGUGGGUAACCUGCCCAUAAGACUGGGAUAACUCCGGGAAACCGGGGCUAAUACCGGAUAACAUUUUGAACCGCAUGGUUCGAAAUUGAAAGGCGGCUUCGGCUGUCACUUAUGGAUGGACCCGCGUCGCAUUAGCUAGUUGGUGAGGUAACGGCUCACCAAGGCAACGAUGCGUAGCCGACCUGAGAGGGUGAUCGGCCACACUGGGACUGAGAAACUGCCCAGACUCCUACGGGAGGCAGCAGUAGGGAAUCUUCCGCAAUGGACGAAAGUCUGACGGAGCAACGCCGCGUGAGUGACGAAGGCUUUCGGGUCGUAAAACUCUGUUGUUAGGGAAGAACAAGUGCUAGUUGAAUAAGCUGGCACCUUGACGGUACCUAACCAGGAAGCCACGGCUAACUACGUGCCAGCAGCCGCAGUAA
This 515-nucleotide ribosomal RNA is filed under the name uncultured bacterium. RNAcentral's name for it is "partial 16S ribosomal RNA". It matches the Rfam family "Bacterial small subunit ribosomal RNA", at positions 28 to 523 of the family's 1533-position model. The record is from RNAcentral.